UGUGCGGGCUCCUCCAACCACAACAGACGUGC
RNAcentral lists this non-coding RNA (32 nucleotides) under Homo sapiens (human). Lineage: Eukaryota; Metazoa; Chordata; Mammalia; Primates; Hominidae. The record is from RNAcentral.